This 16201-nucleotide long non-coding RNA is filed under the name Homo sapiens (human). Its description in RNAcentral is "non-protein coding lnc-INSC-2:13". Lineage: Eukaryota; Metazoa; Chordata; Mammalia; Primates; Hominidae. The record is from RNAcentral.
AACCCGCUUGAGUCAGCUUCUGCAUUGUGGAAGGUUUGUUCUUUCUCUCUUUGCAGUAAAUCUUACUGCUGCUCACUUUUUGGGUCCACACUGCGUUUAUUAGCUGCAACGCUCACCGCUAUGGUCUGCAGCUUCACUCCUGAAGCCAGCGAGACCACGAACCCACCAGAAUGAAGAAACUCCGAACACAUCCAAACAUCAGAAGGAACAAACUCCGGACAGGCGGCCUUUAAGAACUGUAACACUCACCUCGAGGGUCUGCGGCUUCAUUCUUGAAGUCAGUGAGACCAAGAACCCACCAAUUCCGGACACAAUGUUACUCCAGAUAAUCAGCGCCAUUUUCUGAAGCUUGAGAUGCAGGAAAAGAGGAGUGCUAUCCAUUAGAUGGAGACAGGAAGUAGAAAAAGAGCUUAAAGUUUUGGCUUGUGUUACUUCCUUGGGGAGAUCUUGCUGGACCACAUCAGGAAUAGGAGGGGUGUGUCCCCACAGCACUGUGUACACGAUGGAGAAACCAAGUCUUUGAAAUCUUGAGAAACUUGCUCACAGUAUAUAUAGAUGUUAAGUGGCACGUUUGGUGAAUGAAUCCACGAUGAUGUUCCAAGCUUAUGCUCAAUAUUUGAAUGAUACAGGGGACAAGUGAAGAGGAGGGAGGCAGGUCAUAUACCCUAGGCCGUAAAGGAGGGGAGUGGAAUCAAGGAAGAUGCAGCAGAAAAGAAGACUUUGAAAGCACUUAAAAGAAGACUUUGAAGGAUCUUAGGGAGCUUGGAUGGUGGAACCAUGAGAAGAGCACAGAGAAGUUGGUGAGGAUAAUUCCCCCCCUUCUCCAUAUUCUAGAGCUGACAACUCCAGCUUGUGUCAGGGUAAUCAAAAGAAGAGACAAUUUAUUGCAGCUCCUACCAUGUGCCAAGCAGGCACCUACCUAAUACCCUAGGGGCAUUAACUCUUUUAACCCUUGCAACAGCCCUGUGAGGUAGCUACAGUUACAAGCCCCAGUUUAGAGGAAGAAACUGAGGAACAUAAAAGAUUGUCCUGGAAUGCCCCACCAGCAUCAAUGACUUGGUUCUCUUCCCUGGCCCUGAAGGAGUGGGCCACUUUCCAGACACGUCCCAGGCAGCAGUCCUGCUCCGUGACACUGUCAAGAAGAGAGGAGCCUCAGGAAAAGUCACAGACAUAAACAAGAUAAAGCCUGUGACCUUCUAGGACACUUUGGCCUGUGGACCACAGAACUGUCAAUGGCCCAGCCCUUGCUCUGAUAAGGGAGGGCAGGAACAUUCCAGGAGAUGCAUUUGUCUCAAGCCCUCAAAGGCUGAGCAUCCCCGAGAAUCUGGCAGAGAGAGAGAGGACGGGGGAGGCUGGUGGGAGGAUCUCUCCAGGGCGUGGAGCCAGCCCCACUGCCCUUGCUAUCCCUUCAGCCCAGAUAUGGGGCAAGAAAUUCAGGCCAACUCAGCAAACAUGUACCUGGCAGCUCCUUCCUGCCUGGCACUGCUAGGGGCAGAGUGCUGGAGGAGAUGGGAGGGCAAGGAUCCCAGGUUGCAGGGGCUCAGAAAGGUGGAGGGAGAUGUGGAUAUCAAUUGCCUGCAUGGAAAAUGAGGGGACAAAGGACAGGCUUUAGUGCUCUGAGGAAGGAGGCAGUCAUUCUGUCUGAGGUUGUGGGAGUCUAGGAAUAUUUAUUUCCUAGAGAACGAGGCCCCUAAGUAGGCCGUAAAGUUAACCAUGACUUUGACAGGUGGAGGGGUCAGAGGAGAGCAUUCCUGGCACAGAUUGGUAUGUUCAAAAGCAUGGAGGAAGACAAUUGCAGAUGUGUUUCAGUUCAUGCAAAGGCCCCUGGAAGGUUGCAAUGGAAGAUGAAGCUAGAAAGAUCAGGGCUGCAGUAGGAGGGGCCUUGACUCCCUGGGAAAGGGUGUGAAACUAUCCUAUAGGAAUAGGAGCCAGGGCUGCCUCUCCGGUAGGGCAGAAACAGUACCAGCUGGGCUUCACAUGGAGGAAGGAGGGGUGGAAGGGGAGCAGACAGGGCCAGUGGAGGGGAUGUAAUAUUCCAAGUUAGAGGUGGUGAGGCCUGAAUUCCGGUAGCAGCCAUGGGAUUUCUGGAAAAAGUUGCAGAUUGUUUUCUUGCUCCUCUUUUAAGACAGUUAUUAGCAGCUGUGGGGCCACCUGAGUGUGUACUGAGCACUUGGGAAACAGGUCCUGAACCAGAAAGAGUGUCCAGGUACAAGUCUACAUCCCAUACCUUGUCAGGCAGAAGUUAGUAGGAAACCCUGCAGCCCAGCCAGAUAAAGGCGUGGCUUCCAGAAUGCCCUGGAACUGCCUGGGUGAUCCUUUUAAAACAUGAAUAUAAACAUGUCUUCAUCCUCCUUAAAACCCUUCGCUGUUUCCACGUCACUCUCAGAAUGAAGUCCAAGCUCUUUGGCUUGGUGUUUAAAGCUUCAUCAAGCCUGUGCUUAUACCUCUGUCAUCCCAUCUCUGUAGUGUAGGGCAGGGAUCCAAACACUUGUCUGCAUGUUCAAAUUCACCUGGAGAUCUUUUAGAAUGUCUAAAGCACAGCCCAGCACCCAGACCAAUUAAACCACAAUUUCUGGGAUGGGACCUAGUUGCUCAGGUGACCCCAGAGAAGCUAGAAACCCAGGUAUAGGGCCUACAUCCUAAGCUCCAGUCAUACCAGAUGUAUUAGCUAGCUGUUUCCAUCACAGACCACUUCAAAUUCGUGGUGGCUUACAAAAAAUAUUGAUUACCAUGCUCACAGAAAUGCAGAUCAUCUGUGAUUUGGCAGGUAAAUGCUGGUGGCAGUUCUGCUUCAGGCUUCGGGGUCAGCUGGGGUUGACUCUAGGCUGACUCUAGACAUUGCAUUCUAGACAUUGCAUUGAGGGAAUUCUACAGAUCUCUCAUAUUUCUGGGAGCUACAUCUUUCCCUGCAGCAAAUUUUCAAGGUAUUGAUAGAAGUGCACGUGCCCCUUAAGAUCUUAGAUUUUAGCUGGCAACCCCUCACUUAACUCACAUCCCAUUGGUCAAAACAAGUCCCAUGGUCAAGGCCAACAAUGAUGGGGCAGGAAAACAGACUCUGCUCACUCUCCUGUUCUGCAAGUCACAUGGCAGGAAGGAGUGAGGAACUAGAAUAAUCCACUCCAUCUCACAGGUAAUCUUGUGACCUUGAAUGGGUCGCGUCUAUGAACCCCAGUUUCCUUACCUGGAGAAUGAGAUAGUUGCCCUGGAUGCCCACUUACAUGACCGCCCCUCCCAGCUCUUCUCAUCCACAAAGACCUUUGCACAUGUAUGCACAGCCACCCACUUGUGCCCAUACUACACAUUUAAAUCAUGACUAUUAUUUUUAAAUACUUGUUGAUUUUCAAAAUGCUUCACAUACUCACACAGGCCAUAUACUCAUCUGCAGAUACAGAUCCUUGCAUUCUCAGUCCUACACAUACAUAUAUACUUACUUUUCAAACACACACGUUUAUGUGCACAUGUUCCCACAUUUAUACAAAUGCACACAGAGGCACCUAUGUGCCGGUGUGCACUCGCUCAGCCAUACUCACACAUGCCACAUGGAUUCUCAGACAUGUUUAGUUACAAACAGUCUCCCCCACCCUUCUCACCCUCACACACUGGCUCACUCACACAUAUAUUCUAUACCUCUCCGCACAGCUGUUUAAUCAGAAUCAGGGCCUGCUGAUGAGGCUGUUGUCUGGCGCUCAGGGAGCUGCUUUAACUCUUUGCUGCCCCCAUAAAGGCUGGCUGUACUAUGUGCCCUCCAUCUGCAGACCCCGGGGAACAAAAAGGCCACAGAAGAGUCAGGCGGAGAUGCUUAAUCUGCAGGAUUGGAGCUCAUCUGGUGCCACAGGGCCAGGGAGAGGGUGCAGAAGACACAGGGACAGACAGCACUCUGGACCCUCUGAAUUCACUCUGUGCUUUCUCCUCCUGGCUGCAUCUCCCUCAUGUCCCAGGUAUCUUCAGUAGGAUAACCAAAAAAAAAAAAAAAAAAAGAAUCAUCCAAACCAAGACAGUGUUGAGAGCGAAAGGGACACUAACAACAAUUACACUGAAUUACCUGAGAUUGUCACAGGCAAGCAGCAAAUGCCUGGUCCCUACUCAUGAGAGACCAGAUAUUGUGGACUUGCCCUGAGCUCCUGUUUCAGCCCAACUCAAGGACAGUCCCGGUUGAAAGGAACUUUCAGGUAGAAUUCCCUCAUUUUGCAGUUGAAGGCCCAGAGAGAAGCUGGGACUUGCCUGAGGUGACACAACAAGUUAGUAACAAAACAGUGUAUAGAACUAAGUUUUUCAAUCUUCCAGGCUAGAGUUCUCCGUGGUCUUAGGUGCAGCUCCUGGGAAACUGGCUGAAACUGUGGGAUUAGCAUGCAAGGGUUCACUGAGGAGUACUUGAGGAAAGAAAGCAGGACAGAGCAGAGGGACAGCAGCCUCAGCAGAGGUCAUGGGGAGCUCUGGAGCUGAGAGGGUUCUUCAAGGUUGUCCCAAAUGAAUCUAUGGGCCGAGGCUUUGUGCCUCCAGCGAGAGGACGUGAUGUUGGGUGGGGCAGUACCCUGCAGCUGAGAGCAACCCCCAGGGAGGGAUGCAACAGCCUGUCAACUAAGGGAGACAGUGCCUUGGUCCUCCAGGGGAGGUGGGCAGCACACCAUGGCAUCCACCACAUCCUGCUGUUAGCUUGUGUUAAACAAGCUACCUGCAGCCCCAGCCCCCCAGAGGCCUGUUUGUACCUGGGCAGCAGUUGUAUUGGCAUUCAUUUCACUGGCUCCACAGGGGGUCCUGGAAGGAAAUUGCUGGGGAGGAGGCCACCUGGCUGAGGCUGCUCCUGAGACUGACCAGUGCGUUCCUUGUGGAGCCCGAGCUUCCUGCCAGCCCCAGCACGGCCAUCUCUGCAGCUUUGCAGCUGCAUUCUUCACACCCAUCAGAAGUCACUGUUGCUUACUUUAUUUUUCCACUUCUUCGAUCCUUCUACAUGUGGUCCAAGGGAGUUUCCUGUCUAACUCAGCCAGGGAACAGGGGCAGCUAGCAGAGAGCCAAAAGGGGGCACCUGGGCAUGAGUUAAGAGGGCAUCUGUGGCAAGCCCAUUACACAGCUAAAGAGAACAAUCUCAAUGAGAAGACUCAGGCUUCUUUAUGAAGGAGGGACACAUUUCCCAUGGGCUGUGGAGUCCAGCAAUCCUGACUUCCAGUCUUAGCUCUGCUGCCUACCUACGGAGGCACUUUACACACACUUCCAGGCGUGAAAAAAAAAAAAUUUCAGCAAAUUAAAUUUAACAAAGUUUAGUUGAGCCAAGAACUAUUCGCAAAUCGAGCCCCCUCAGAACCAGGAAACGGAACGGAAGUGAGGCACAGCAACAGCUUCACUGGUUACAGCUCAGCAUUGGCCGUAUUUGGAUGUGGUGUGAUGAGUUGACUGCCCGUGAUUGGCUGAACCUCAGCAUCUUGUUAUUGGCUGAGACACAACUACUUGUCACAAAAAAUGCAUACUCCUAAAUUAGGCUUUUAUUCUGUUUACGUACUAAGUAAGGUGCAGUUUGUUAUGUAAAUACUCAAGGUACUGAGGCAUCUUCAGGCCAACUUUAGUUAAAUUUAACACAAGCUACCUAGAACUUAGGGAUGGCUCUCUAUAUACAGUAGAGCAUUGUAAGAAUGUAAUGAGGUAACCUGGGAAUAGGAAAGGGAUCUGCAACGUGCCAGCACUCUGCUAAGCACGCAGCACCCACAGCCUCCCUUAUCCCUAUCACAAGCCUGCAAGGUGAGUACCCAGGAUCCCAUUUUACAGAUAAACAAGCUUGCCCCAGGGCCCAGAUCCAAGCUCAACCUGACAUUGUAUGAUUGGUUGCCAGCAUUCUCUGCAGAUUAGUCUUGACAAGGGCCAGUUUCUUACUCCAGUAAAGCAGGAAUUAAAAAGAAAAUAAAAAAAGAAAACACUGGAGCAGUGCUUGACAUUUCACUAUGUUUCCAUCAUAUUGGGUGAAGGCAUCAAGAAGAGCAAAAAUCCUCCUCCUUAAAAACUCAAGAAUUUCAGUGCCAAAAAAAUGACUGUGGAAUUUUUCCAUAAACACACACACACACACACACACACACACACACACACACACACACACACACACACACACACCGUGUUAGUUUUUUCCUGAGGAUCCUGCAGAAUUGCUUUUCACAAAAGACGGCUAACAGCACAGAGCUCUUCUGGAGAGCAGAUUAAAUGAAUUGUCCAGUUUUGGGUGGAAGGCUGUCCAACUUUCCCAGUCAUCAGUGGAAUGCUGGCUGGGUUGAUGUAGGGGUUACUUGGGGGUUAUUGACAACUCCCCAAAUGAGUCUAGCAAACUCGUUUGUGCCAGGCUUCAACUAGGGAGCUCACAGUCUCCUGGGGAAAAUGGACAUAAAAACAGGAAAUUACAAUAUGUAAGUAAUAUUAUAACAAGAAGUAAUAGAAUCAAAUACAAAGUCCCCAGAUAACUUGGAGGUGGUGUCAGCUCUGUCGUGGAGGCUCAAGGAAGAUUUGCUGAAAGAAGUAUCACAAAUCCAGGUUUUGAAGGAUGAACAGGAGUUUUUAGGAGCUACCACCUACUUUUAAUGAUUUUUCUAUUUAGAGAGUGGAGAAAAGAAAGAAGAGGAAGGGUGCUUACAUGUACUACAUGCUAUUUGCCAGACUGCAUUCGACACUUUGCACGUUUGCACAUUUAAUUCUCACGAUAACCUUGUCAGAUGGGGUUUUCACAGGCAAGAAACUUAGGAUCAAAAAGGGUAAGCUGAGCAAUUUACUCAAGGUCACACAGCUACCAAGUGCUGGGGCCAGAAAUCCAUCCCAGUUCUUUUGGCUCCAAAUCCCUGGCUCUUUCCCUGCUGCUGGCUUCUGUAGCCCAUAGGAGCUGUACAUUCAUGGAGUUUAUCUGUGGCAUACUGUGCAGUUUUUGAGUUGGUUAGAAUAAUGUAAAAUCAUUAGGAACUGAUUUAGCAACUGGUCAUAUCUACAGUCAACCCUACAAAAUUCCCUCAUCUGUUCACAGAAACUAUAAGUCUUCAAAGUACUGUCCCAUCUACCCAUUCCUCAGCCCAGCCCUGCAACUUGAACAGGAAGGUCCAUUGCCUGGUAAGUCAAGAGCAGAGCCAGGGGAACUAGAAUCUUCAAUUUCUUGGUUCCCACUGCAGGGCUCUAUGAGUGACACUAUGUUAUACGUAUCUUGUCCCUUUCAUAUCUCUGGUGCUGUAAGGAAGUACCUUCAGGUACUCCAGAUCCUGGGUACCUUCUGUAUCCUCCUUAACAUAAAGUCACUUAACAUAGGACUGAGAUUGAGUGUAUUUCUUUUCAUAAAGAGGUGUGGCUUGAAUUCCUGUGCUGACCACUCCUGACUUGUGUGACCUUGAGCCAAGUUACCUAACCCUUUAGACUUUAAAUCAUCUGAGAAAUAGGGCCAUAAGUUUGGAGAAGUCCUACCUUUGUACAAAAUAACUGGGGCGAUGUUUCGGCACUUACUGGGUACACAAAAUACCUGGUACUUACUAGGUGCUCAGUAGAUGUGAGUUUACUUUCCUUUAUCCUUUGAAGAGCUGUACCUGUGUCCAGGGUUAACCUCACUCCAUCAGGACCUAGACAUCCCUACAAAAUUAGGGAUUUUACUUCCCUUUGUGGUAAUUAACUAUAUAUUGUACAUUCUAUAUCCAAAGUCACAGAGCAGAUCCACAGUUUUCAAACUGGGUUCGAAGAAGCCCUGAGGUCCUGCGAGGCGGUUCAAGGGUGAUGGAUGUCAGUGGUCAGGCCUUCAGACCACCCCCUCCCAAUUCAACAAAGGCAGAAUCUCUUUUAUAUCUUUUAUAUGUUGGGCUCUCAAGUAGAAUUUCAUUUUAAGAAUGAAAUUGAGUGUUGAAAAUAGAAAAUUGCAAACCUCUGUUGGAGAGUAAUAGAAAGUUUAAUGUGUGAUCUUUGCAUUGCAAACCAGGUUGCUUUCUCCCUUAUGUCUCUUCCCUCCUCGUCUUUUUUUUUUUUUUUUUUUUUUUUGAGAAGGAGUCUUGCUCUGUCCAGCAGUGGUGCCAUCUUGGCUCACUGCAACCUCCACCUCCCAGGUUCAAGCAAUUCUCCUGCCUCAGCCUCCUGAGUAGCUGAGAUUACAGGCACAUGCCACCACCCUCAACUAAUUCUUGUAUUUUUAGUAGAGGUGGGGUUUCACCAUGCUGGUCAGGCUGAUCUCGAACUCCUGACCUUGUGAUCUGCCUGCCUCGGCCUCCCGAAGUGCUGGGAUUACAGACAUGAGCCACCACGCCCAGCCCCUCCUGGUCUCCUUAAUGACAAAAGCCCAGCUUCUACCCUGCUCACUGCCCCACCCCCAACAUUCAGACCAGUCACAAGAAGGAAAACCAGUUAACAAGGACCUGGAGAAGCUACAACGUACUUGGACUUCCAGUCUUUAAAUGGACCGUUUUUGUCUCAGCCUGGCUAGGAAGUCUUGGCUGAUGUGGUCUAGAGACAGGAAAGCAAGGUAAUUUGGGGCCUAAAAUGACAAAAUGAGGGCAGAGAAAAGUGUUGAAAAUGAAUGACUGCGGAAAGGAAAGAAAUAUUCUGACAUGCUCCUCUUCCUAUCUGACACCCAGUGAGAUGGAGAACACGUUGACUUUGGAGCCAAGAAAGCUGAGUUCAAAUUCUGAGCCUGCCCAAUGUGUAACUAUGUGAUCUUGAACAAGCCAUUAACUCCUUCCAGUCUUAUUUCCUCAUCUACAGAAUGGGAAUAGUAUUGCUGUCACAGGACUAAUAUGAGUGUAUAUCACAUGUAUGUAAAAAGCAUAUGUGAGAUAUUGAAUGAAAAACAAUUGAUGCCUGCUAGAUGUCACUGAAUAAACAUCAGUCCCCCUUCUCCAUCCAGCUACCAUAUUUUCCAGCCCAUACAUUGAGACACUGGGUUAUGGUAAAUAUUGAAUUAAAUGAUGUAAAUCAAUUCCUAAUGCAACUCCUGGCACACAGUAGGUGUUUAAUAAAUGCUAUCUUCUCCACAAGCUUCCCUCCUUCUGCACAACAUAUUUGCAGCAACUGCCAUCCUGAUCACCUCAUGCUUGGGUUACUAACUCAGCCCCCCUAGUGGGGUCCCCUGUCCCAGAGCCCUGUUCCUGUCUCCCUGGCAUGUGCAGUCACCCUAAUCUUCCCCUAAACAAAUGAACAAAGCAAGACAAAUGGCAAAGCUCCACUAACAACAAGCUAUUCAGUUCCAGCAUUAUCUGAUUUAAUUCUCCAUUUUUGUUUCAGAUCAAUCUGUAAGAUCAGUGUUAAUAGCUCUCCCUACCCCUUGUAAUGAUAAUCUCAGGCUCAAAGAAGUAAGCAAUUUCAGCUCCUCACCUUUGUGGGGGCGUAGCUAAGGUGUGAGAUCCCAUCAGAUCUGUCUGCAACCAAAGACUCUUCUGCAACAUUAACUGUUCUCUGAAGUGGUCUGGCUGGGCACUGAGAGUGGAGAGACCUGGAUUCUAGCGCUGGCUCACCAUUGGUUCAUGGCGCAUGAGCCCAUUUCCUCCUCUAAAAAUGAGGAGAGUCCCUUCCUUUCUUACCCCAUAUGUCUGCACUCAGGUUUCAGGGCCAAUUUCAGAUGGGCCAUAUGCUCUCUGUCCUCUGUACCUUUGCCCAAGCUGUCGCCUGCUCCUCAGUCACCUCCCUCAUUGCCCUGUGUCUACCUGUUUAAGAAUUAAGCUCUAAGAUUCUACUCUAUCAUCCCUCACCUCCUUCAGAAAGCCUUCCUAGACCAGCCCAGGCAGAAUCAGGUGCUCCUCCUCUAGGCUUUCAUAGCCCUGCAUCUAAACCACAACUGUGACCUUUUUUUCCUGGUAUAUACCUUUGAUUAUAGGACUGUCUCCUAGUAGAUAGACUGGGAGCUCUCGUUUAUCUCAUUUAUCUUUAUACCCAUGUCUGUCACAGAAUAAUUGCUCAGAUAAUACUUGUGGAAUGAAUGCAUUAAUGAAUGAAUGAAGAGAGAGAGCAAGGGAGAUCGAAAGAGCAUCAUUGAAUGAGUUCAGGGUUUUGUUCGGUCCCAGCUUCAGAGUCCAUUUCUUAAGAAUAAUUAAUUCUUGCAGUUCUUCCACUGCUGACGUUGUGCCUCCAUGGGGGUCAAUGGCCCUAUGCCCUAGCAUCUUAUCCCUAUACCAUGUAAUCUGGGUCUGAUGCUGGAAUUUGGGCUUAGAGCUUGGCUCCAAGUCUCUGUGACAGGGCUCUGCCCUGCCUCCAGCCCCCAUCCAGGACAUGGGCCCUCUCUUACCCUGGCCAGCCUGUUUCAGGCCAAGGAACUCCAUUCCUCUCCCCAGCUCCUGUUCUCUCCCUCUCACCUGCUUCCCUGGCUGGUGAUAGGGCCUGCCUCCUGCCCAUCAGGGCUUCUUAGAUUACAACUAUCAGCCUAAUUUCCCCACUUCUGUGUCCCACCCACUUACUAGGUCAGCCUUCCCACUAUAGUUGGGAGAUGGUGACAUCCUCAUGUGUCAGGCUUUUCCUGAUAUCGGGAGCCCCUCAUGUCAGCUCCUAUCCCUGGGUCAGAUGCCCUGACAUAUGCCCAGCCCUUCAGACAGCUCCAGGUCAGUGUCCAAUCCCUUUCUGCCUGCCAGGGAGCAUCUGGACAUGCCUAGCCAAAUCCUGAGAUGGGCUGGGAGGAGGCAGUCAGCCCUGGAGAUCAUUUCCAGUGAAGGCCCAGCCUGCAGGUGGGCACACAUGGUGGGUGUUCAGGUUUGAGGAGGCCUUGGAAAAUGAAAGAUCGCAUGUGGUGCAAACCUCAGGCUAUGUGCCUUUGGACAACUCAUUUUAUCCCUCUGUGCCAAAGAGUUUUUGUUUGCAAAUUGGAGAUAAGAACACAUAAUAGCUACCUCAGAGGACUGUUGUGAAGAAUAAAUAGGAUAAUGCAUAUCAACCUCAAGGCCUGGUACAUGAUGAGCCCUCAGUAAACGUGAGCCCUUUUCCAUGUCACUAUAGCUGUUGUCAUUAUUGCUCUUGUUGCUGCUAUUGUCAUUAAGAAGAGUGGGCUGCAUCCUCAGGUACAUCUCCUGUGCUGUUUCUUUUCCUCAAACCACUCAUUAAUAUUCUGAAGACUAAGUCAGGGAGGCAGUAGCAACACACCAGGCUUAAAAUUAAUCAAGUUCCCUUCAGUCCAAAUGAACUUUUCUCACCGAUUCUCAGAUCUUCGGCAUCUUGCUACUGGGUGCAUUUUUUCUACAUAAUGAAGUUUGGGCAGUGCUGGCUCCUGCCUAGUCCCUGACUGUGACCUCCAUGCAGUCACAGCUGUUCUCAGGCGCUGCGCUUCAAGUUCCCCACCCCACAUCGUCUGGCUGCCUUCUCAUCUGGGGUGAUGCGACCCCAGCAGAUUAAUAUGAUGUCCUUGUAAUUCUGCAUCCAAGACACAUGUCACUUUCCUUCAACACAUUUGGAAGGAGGGCAAGUUCUACUUUGUAAGGACCGUCACUUAUUUUGAACUGGAAGAAAAUAAUUUAUUUGGUCAAAAGUUGUUGUGCUUUUCCAUUAAGGGCACAUAUUACCCUUUUGUAAUUGGAAAUGGGGCCAUUUAGAUCCCACAUCGUCUAAUCUCCAAAGUCACUCCAGCACAGGGCUUUCUUCCUCAUUUGAUUUCAAUCAAUCAGUGAAUCCAACAACGAAGAAAAUGCAUUCAAAAAUUAACCAUACCAAGUGAAAGCAGAGGAACGUAUGUUAGCAGGAGUCUCCCAACUCAGGUGUUUCUGUAAGAACCAUUAAAAUACCCCUUAUCUGAGUGGAAAUUCAUUUCUUUCUACUAUAGGAAGACUCCAAGACACUCACUCUAAGACUUGGGCCUGGAUCUAUGUGCAGAAACCCUGCUGAACUUUGCAGUGUCACCCGCCACCCAACUAAGAGGGUCUCCCAGGAUUGUUUUCUAGUUCCCAGUCUGGGCUGUCUGACAUGGCACCCCAACCUGGGUACACAUCUUAGAGGCUCGGCUUUUUGUCAGUGGCAAACUGGAAAUUUCACCACUUAAAUGGAACCACGAAAUCUUAGGCCUUGGGAGAGUAUGUCUGCAGGGCCAUCUUGGUGUGCACCUCUCACUGACCAUUUUCAACAGAUGCCAGAUUCUUGGAUCUGGGAGGGUGGCCCUAGUCCCCAUCUUCAGGCUGUGUUAAAUGGUGAGCUUGAAGGCCAAAGAAAACUGCUUCAGACUUUGAUACCUUAUCAGUAUGACUCAGGGAAGAGAGAGGUUAAGUAACUUGCUCAGAAUCACACAGGUAGUAACUAGCAAAAUUGGACUUUGAAUCCAGGUUUGCAUGACUUUAUAUUAUGCUUUUCUGCAAUGCUGCUGCCUGGAAGGCAGGCUUAGUGCUGCUGAGAUCCUGGUAGAUAUCUGCUUUCCCCAAAGCGGUGAACUUUGCAGGCUACCGCCAGAUCUAUGCCAUCUGCUCACUUCCGAGGGGCUUCUUCAAAUCCCACCAGGUGACCUUAAUGUCCCAAAAUAUUCUUGACACUGAAGCACUCACUUGCAAAGAAAAGCUGGACCCCAACCCCUGUAUUGGACAGACCCUACAGGAAGUUUCCUUAAUAGCCUAAGGAGCAGAGACAGAAAAUGAAAAAUCACUAAGGUAGUGGUAGGCUUACAUCCCAGGGAGGGAGUGCCAUGGCGCACACCUCCUGCAUGGGCUAGGGUUCGCAUUUGUGUUUAAUAACAACUUUGAUCUCUCUGCCAGCAGCAGCGGUCAUUGAGAAAUCCUGACAUAAAGAAGGUAUCUGGGAGAUAAAGUUCUGCAAGCGAUGAUUACUAGCACUUAAGUUCUCUUUUUGUUGAAAGGAAGAAUCCCAGAUUGAACAGUGCAUUGAAUGAUAUGACAAGCAAGUACUUGAUCCCUGUCCAGCUGGAGGGGGGAUUGUACCCAUCAGCAGCUUUUUAGCUAAGGACGUCUUUAUAUUUCCCUUCUUUGUCUGGGCCUCUCUAGUUCCUCCUUUUACUUCAUGUCAGCACUAUAUAGUAGGUAUGCCAAGUGGUUUUGAAAUUUAAAUUACAGUCUCUUUUUCAGAUGUUAUUGGAAAGAACAUGUAAUUUAUAACCACGUGUUAGGAGUACAGGAUGUUCAUGGUCCACUGCCAAUUUUUCUUUUGUAAAGUUAAUAAAACUUUCAUAAAACACUUAUACACUUGUAUAUUUCAUGGUAAAGAUUUUUUUUAUCUCAUAGGCUAAUGUAAAGAUUUAUUAAAACCAUUUUUUUGUUAAGAGGAGUGUCAAUAGUUUGCAGCUGAGUGUAAUUUUGAAUCCGUGGAAGAUGACGGUCUGAUGGAAAAUGACAGUAACAGCUUUGUUGAUUUAGCACUAAAAAUAAAGGAGCCUUUCAAAUGAGAGAAUGCUCUAAUAUCCAGAGUGGGCUAGGACGCACUCAGGCCAAUGGAGGCAAGCUGGAGGAGCCGGCCACCAGCACUCCAGCCCCUGGCAAGAGCAGAGCAGGAUUGGAUGGAGCCCAGGAAAUGCAGAUGAUAACUCCUGCCUCCAGACCCCUCUCUGAGAUGAUUCUGAGACACAUAUAAAUGGGCUUUGCAAACUGUGGGCAGUAGAUGUGAGAACUCUUCAUCUUCCAGACAGGAUCCAAGGUCCUUUGGAAGGGACAGUGAGCGGACUGCAUCCUGCUUGCAUGAAGACCCUGAUUCCCUCAAAUGUUGAAAGAGGUUGAAUUUACAAAUAAAUUAAGAAAUUAAGAGCAAAUGAAGAGGAAGGAAUGGUUAUUAACCGUGUGCCAUAGAUCUUUGCAUUAGUAAGCCUUAUGGUCCUUGUUUAAUAGAUGAUGAAACUGGGACUAAGAGAAGUGAAGUAAUCAACUCAAGAUCACAAAAUGAACGGGACAACCAGGUUUCAAACUUAGGUUUAUUCUGACACCAAAGCUUCCAUAUUUUUUUCCAUUCUAGAAUGUUAGAAGCAGUGGACACUCUGGAGUGUUCCCACAUGCUAAGCACUACGCUCGGUGCUCUAUAAGCAUUCUCUCUCUCAAUCCUCACGCCACACCUGGGCAAUCACGAUUACCUUCAUGCAAGGUGAGAAGUGCUGAAAGUUAUAAUUCCUUGCAGGGGAGGGAUUGAAUGUGCUUCCCGUGGAAGGCUGUGGUCUAGCAGUGCCUUUGGUUGGAGGGAGCAGGAAGCUUCAAGCUCUGCCUGGGGCCACUUCUCCCGCAGUUGAGAAUUAAGGGUUAGCACCUGGAAUUUGACUUAGAAAUGGGAUUGGUAAUUGUCUCAUUCCUCUUUACAGGGGUCAUCCCCAUCUACCUCACUCUGCCCUCUACUCCAGCCCUGCUCUCUUUGGCCCCUCUUUCAGUUGUUCUUUCUUCUCUCCAUCUGCCAUUCUCUUCUACAUUCCUUUUUCAACCAAGUAGUCACUCUUUAUCGCAGCAUUUCUCCUAGUGACCCUCCCUGGUGCCACUGAGGUGAGGGCCAGCCACAUGCCUGGCUUAGGGUCACUGUUUUCUUUGUAGGCAUCCUCUCCAGCACCUCCCUCCACCCACUUUCUGGCUAACUCCUAUUCUUCGCUGAGGUUUCUGCUUAAAUGUUACUUCUUCAGACCAUGCCUGACACAUCUGACUGGAUCAGGCCAUCUGCGUGUACACUCUCUAAUCAUUUUGCAUUUCCCCAUUACUUUUCACAAUUAUAAUUAAGUGAUUGUUUGUAAAACUUAUUUGUUUGCUAUCUAUGUUUCCUGCUAGACUACAAGCUCCAGGAGGGGAGGAGCCACAUCUGCCUUACUCAUUGCUGCAUCUUCCAUUCCCAGUAGAGCUCAGGGUCAGUCCUCUCAACCUCACACCAUGGCAGUGUUCCUCCCCUUCUAGGCAAAAGGCCAGACAGCCUCCUGACUUCACACCCUAGUCCCAUUUGUAAUUGUGCCAAGUAUCACCAAGUGUCAUACAAGUGUCACAGAGUCUAGUUAGGAGAGAUUCUGGUGGCAGCCUUCCCCUUUGCCCUUUGGAGAGUGAAGUUGCACAUUCCCACCUUGUGAGAGGUGAAGAAAGAGCCAACAGCCUAGCCUGCUUCUACGUCUCGACAACUCUGAGAUAUGGAGGCAUAGGAAGCUCUGGGAUCCUGGAAGAAAAUGUAAAAGAGAAAUUGGGACCCCAGGACAAGAAGUCCAAGAGAAAUGGCAGAAGACUCCUACGCAAUCUCUGUCACCACCGUAGGGGCAAAGGCAGAGCAAUUGGGACCAAUGACCCCAACUAGGAACAUAGCCUGGAGAACCCCAAGGAGCAUGAGGACAUCCUGAACAGAGGCCACCUCAGGAGAGCUGAAGGAGCAGGAGAGCAGCCCUGGUGCACCCUGCCCAGGCUCAACUCCUCCCGCAGAACUAAGCCAGGGCUGAGAAGUUCCUUGAAAGAGGCUGCUCUUUGGAAGCCUUGCACAUUUCUGAAGGCUGCCAAGAGAGUGUGUGGCUGAAACCAGAGUGAGGACCCAUGCUUCCUUGAGGUGGAGCCCAGGCACUUGGGCAAACAGCUGAUAGGAGUUCAUUUUGUGAAGCUGUCACGAGUUUUCCAGUAGACCAUGAGCUUGCUGAUGGCAGGAGCCUGCCUGUCCUUGAUCCUUGUUUCUGUGGGGUCUAUCCCAGUGCCUGGCACAGUGGCUUUGGAGAUGGAAGGAAUAGAGGGAGAGCAGAUCCUCAAACACAGCCUGCAUCUCUCCCUGCUCCCCUCCCACCCUCCAGUUUUCCAGCCAGAGGCAUUUGCUCUAAGGCCCAGGCUGUGGCCCACCUAUCACCGCUACCCAAGUAGUACAGGAAAAGGAAAUUUGAAGAGGAAAAGAGGCACCAGGGAUGAGGACACACCGAGAAAAGACCAUGUGAAGACAUGGCGAGAAGACAGCCAGCUGCAAGCCAAGGAGUGAGGCCUCAGAAGAAACCAACCCUGCCGACACCUUGACCUUGGACUUCUAGUCUCUAGAAUUAUGCGAAAAUAAAUUCCUGUUGUUUAAGCCACCCACUCUGUAGUAUUUUGUUAUGGCAGCCCCAAGCAAACUAAUACAGUAUCCUUGAAGAAAGAAGAAUUAUAAAACCUAACAGUUAAGGGGCAGUUAAUUGACAUAUUAAUAAUUCAUUUAGUCUUCUCUUCACAGAAACUCUCUAUAGGAGUUAUUACCAUUUAUCACCAUUUUACAGAGGAGAAAACUGAGGCACAAGAGGUCAAGUAACCUGCUUCAAAGUCAUAACUAGUAAGUGACAGAGGCAGUUUCUUCACUCUCAGUCCUCUAAAAAGCAAAGCCCAAGGUUAAAGUGCUGACAUUUAGU